Molecule: small RNA, 29 nt
Filed under: Bombyx mori (domestic silkworm)
Lineage: Eukaryota; Metazoa; Arthropoda; Insecta; Lepidoptera; Bombycidae
Description: ovarian small RNA-2447
Source: RNAcentral
AACCAGUACGAGGUGCUCAUCGGAGCCGA